Small nuclear RNA from Perognathus longimembris pacificus (Pacific pocket mouse), 104 nucleotides. The record is from RefSeq and is a predicted model, not a curated record. Lineage: Eukaryota; Metazoa; Chordata; Mammalia; Rodentia; Heteromyidae.
UUGCUUCAGAAGCACGUACAUUAAAGCUGAAACAACACAGAGAAGAUCCACAUAGCCCCUGUACAAGAAUGAAAUGCAAAACCCAUGAAGUGGUCCUUAUUUUC